GACGAACGCUGGCGGCGUGCCUAAUACAUGCAAGUCGAGCGGACAAAGAGGACUUUUCUCCUCGAUGUUAGCGGCGGACGGGUGAGUAACACGUGGGCAACCUGCCUUUAAGACUGGGAUAACUUCAGGAAACCGGAGCUAAUACCGGAUAAUGCUUUUGAACUCAUGUUCGAAAUCUGAAAGAUUGUUUCGGCUAUCACUUACAGACGGGCCCGCGGCGUAUUAGUUAGUUGGUGGGUUAACGGCUCACCAAGGCAACGAUGGGUAGCCGAAGUGAGAGGGGGGUCGCCGACACUGGGAGUGAGCCACGGCCCAUGGUCCUACGGGAGGGAGCAGUAGGGAACGUGCUGCAAUGGACGAAAGUAUGACGGAGUAAGGGGGAGUGAGUGAUGGAGGUUUUCGGAUCGUAAAAAUGUGUUGUUAGGGGAGAACCAGUACCGGAGUAACUGACGGUAGAUUGACGGUAACUAGCCAGGAAGCCACGGCUAACUACGUG
Molecule: ribosomal RNA, 496 nt
Filed under: uncultured bacterium
Lineage: Bacteria
Description: partial 16S ribosomal RNA
Rfam family: Bacterial small subunit ribosomal RNA
Source: RNAcentral